UGCUAAACUUAGUUCUUCUGGAGAG
Molecule: non-coding RNA, 25 nt
Filed under: Cricetulus griseus (Chinese hamster)
Lineage: Eukaryota; Metazoa; Chordata; Mammalia; Rodentia; Cricetidae
Source: RNAcentral